UCUUGACAUCCAGAGAACUUAGCAGAGAUGGUUUGGUGCCUUCGGGAACUCUGAGACAGGUGCUGCAUGGCUGUCGUCAGCUCGUGUUGUGAAAUGUUGGGUUAAGUCCCGCAACGAGCGCAACCCUUAUCCUUUGUUGCCAGCGGUUAGGCCGGGAACUCAAAGGAGACUGCCAGUGAUAAACUGGAGGAAGGUGGGGAUGACGUCAAGUCAUCAUGGCCCUUACGAGUAGGGCUACACACGUGCUACAAUGGCGCAUACAAAGAGAAGCGACCUCGCGAGAGCAAGCGGACCUCAUAAAGUGCGUCGUAGUCCGGAUUGGAGUCUGCAACUCGACUCCAUGAAGUCGGAAUCGCUAGUAAUCGUGGAUCAGAAUGCCACGGUGAAUACGUUCCCGGGCCUUGUACACACCGCCCGUCACACCAUGGGAGUGGGUUGCAAAAGAAGUAGGUAGC
RNAcentral lists this ribosomal RNA (455 nucleotides) under Enterobacter cloacae. RNAcentral's name for it is "bacterial SSU rRNA". It matches the Rfam family "Bacterial small subunit ribosomal RNA", at positions 979 to 1434 of the family's 1533-position model. Lineage: Bacteria; Pseudomonadati; Pseudomonadota; Gammaproteobacteria; Enterobacterales; Enterobacteriaceae. The record is from RNAcentral.